AGUACAGUGAUGGAAAGGUGAAAAGAACCCCGGGAGGGGAGUGAAAUAGAUCCUGAAAUUGUGUGCCUACAAGGAGUCGGAGCCGGCUUGUCCGGUGACGGCGUGCUUUUUGUAGAACGAUCCAGCGAGUUAAUUUCGUGCGCAAGGUUAAGCCAAUUGGCGGAGCCACAGUGAAAGCGAGCCUGAAUAGGGCGAAUGAGUGCACGGGAUUAGACCCGAAACCGGGUGACCUAACCAUGAGCAGGCUGAAGCGACGGUAACACGUCGUGGAGGGCCGAACCAGGGUACGCUGCAAAGUGCUUGGAUGACUUGUGGUUAGCGGUGAAAUGCCAAUCGAACUCGGAGAUAGCUGGUUCUCCUCGAAACAGUUUUAGGACUGGCGUCAUGUAGUAGCAGUCGGGGGUAGAGCUCUGUAAAGGACUGGGGCUGGCAACGGUACCCACCCUUAACAAACUACGAAUACCGACUGUGGAAUCAUGGCAGUUAGAACGGCGGAGCUAAGUUCGUCGCUCAAAAGGGAAACAGCCCAGACCAUCGUCUAAGGUCCCUAAAUUUACGUUAAGUGGGAAACAAGGUGAGAUUUCUUAAACAGCUAGGAUGUUGGCUUAGAAGCAGCCAUUCAUUUAAAGAGUGCGUAACAGCUCACUAGUCAAGAGAUCUUGCGUGGAAAAUGUAACGGGGCUAAACGUAAUACCGAAGACAUGGAUUGUAUGUUUUGCAUACAGUGGUAGAGGAGCGUUCCUAUCAGCAGUGAAGCAGUAUUGUAAAGUAUUGUGGAGCGGUAGGAAGUGAGAAUGCUGGAAUGAGUAACCAUAAGAGAGGUGAGAAUCCUCUCGGCCGUAAGAGCAAGGUUUCCUGAGCUAUGGUAAUCAUCUCAGGGUUAGUCGGGCCUAAGCCGAGGCGCAGAGCGUAGGCGAUGGACAUCAGGUUAAUAUUCCUGAACCGGUUAAGUUUUGUACACUGUUCACGGGGAAGUAAUCGAAGCGGAUUCAUGGUUUAUCCGUCCAACCGAGCGGGAACGCAAAGGGAGUGAAAGUGAUUCUUCGGAGUCGCGAUUUUGGUGAAAGCCCUGGCUAGAAAAGCAGGUGUACGCGUGGACUUAGCCGCCCGUACCGCAAACCAACACAGGUGCUCGAGUCGAGUAGACUCAGGCUUACGAGCGAACCUUCGCUAAGGAACUCGGCAAUACAGCGACCGUAACUUCGGGAUAAGGUCUGCCCCCACUUCGGUGGAUAUCAGCCGCGUUCACUCAGUGAAUAAUAGGUUAAAGAGUACAUUUUUAAUCACAAAACGAAUUUUCUGAGACACGAGCAAACAAAUUGCUCUUUGAACGCGAACCUCUUGUAUCUAACGAUGUGGGGGCCGCAGCAAAAGAGCCCACGGAACUGUUUAUCAAAAACACAGCUCUCUGCCAACACGAAAGUGGAUGUAUAGGGGGUGACUCCUGCCCGGUGCUGGAAGGUUAAGGGGAGUGCUUCACGGUACGAACUGAAGCCCCAGUGAACGGCGGCGGUAACUAUAACCGUCCUAAGGUAGCGAAAUUCCUUGUCAGGUAAGUUCUGACCCGCACGAAUGGAGUAAUCAUGUGGGCACUGUCUCAGCGAAGGACUCGGUGAAAGUGCAUUGGCGGUAAAGAUGCCGUCUGUCCAUACCAGGACGAGAAGACCCCAUGGAGCUUUACUACAGCUUUACAUUGAUCCAGGUUUCAGUAUGUGUAGCAUAGUUGGGAGACUUUGAAACAGAUACGCUAGUAUUUGCGGAGUCGCAAUGUGAAAUACCAACCUUGCUGUGAUCUUGAUCUCACUUGUGCCGUUAUCCGGUACAAGGACCGUGUAUGGUGGGUAGUUUAACUGGGGCGGUUGCCUCCUAAAGAGUAGCGGAGGCGUUCAAAGGUUGGCUAACUUCGGAUGGAAAUCGAAGUGAUAGUGUAUGCGCAUAAGCCAGCUUGACUGUGAGGAGUACAUUCCAAUCAGAGACGAAAGUCGGAGCAAGUGACCCGCUGUACGAACAUUUGUUCAUUGAAUGUGGGAUCGACAGCGCACACGGAUAAAAGUUACCCUGGGGAUAACAGGCUUAUAGCGCCCAAUAGUUCACAUAGACGGCGCUGUUUGGCACCUCGAUGUCGGCUCAUCACAUCCUGGAGGGGGAGCACCUUCCAAGGGUUCGGCUGUUCGCCGAUUAAAGUGGUACGCGAGCUGGGUUCAGAACGUCGUGAGACAGUUCGGUUUAUAUCCGGUAUGGACG
This 2244-nucleotide ribosomal RNA is filed under the name human oral metagenome. RNAcentral's name for it is "bacterial LSU rRNA". It matches the Rfam family "Bacterial large subunit ribosomal RNA", at positions 497 to 2653 of the family's 2925-position model. The record is from RNAcentral.